This 1502-nucleotide ribosomal RNA is filed under the name Companilactobacillus paralimentarius. Its description in RNAcentral is "bacterial SSU rRNA". It matches the Rfam family "Bacterial small subunit ribosomal RNA". Lineage: Bacteria; Bacillati; Bacillota; Bacilli; Lactobacillales; Lactobacillaceae. The record is from RNAcentral.
GACGAACGCUGGCGGCGUGCCUAAUACAUGCAAGUCGAGCGAACUCUGGUUUUUGAUUUUUGGUGCUUGCACCAAAAUGAUAAAACAUUUGAGUGAGCGGCGGAUGGGUGAGUAACACGUGGGUAACCUGCCCUAAAGUGGGGGAUAACAUUUGGAAACAAGUGCUAAUACCGCAUAACAACAUUUACCACAUGGUUUAUGUUUAAAAGAUGGUUUUGCUAUCACUUUAGGAUGGACCCGCGGCGUAUUAGUUAGUUGGUGAGGUAAUGGCUCACCAAGACCGUGAUACGUAGCCGACCUGAGAGGGUAAUCGGCCACAUUGGGACUGAGACACGGCCCAAACUCCUACGGGAGGCAGCAGUAGGGAAUCUUCCACAAUGGACGAAAGUCUGAUGGAGCAACGCCGCGUGAGUGAAGAAGGUUUUCGGAUCGUAAAACUCUGUUGUUGAAGAAGAACAUGCGUGAGAGUAACUGUUCACGUAUUGACGGUAUUCAACCAGAAAGCCACGGCUAACUACGUGCCAGCAGCCGCGGUAAUACGUAGGUGGCAAGCGUUGUCCGGAUUUAUUGGGCGUAGAGCGAGCGUAGGCGGUUUAUUAAGUCUGAUGUGAAAGCCCUCGGCUCAACCGAGGAAGUGCAUCGGAAACUGGUAAACUUGAGUGCAGAAGAGGAGAGUGGAACUCCAUGUGUAGCGGUGGAAUGCGUAGAUAUAUGGAAGAACACCAGUGGCGAAGGCGGCUCUCUGGUCUGUAACUGACGCUGAGGUUCGAAAGCGUGGGUAGCAAACAGGAUUAGAUACCCUGGUAGUCCACGCCGUAAACGAUGAGUGCUAAGUGUUGGAGGGUUUCCGCCCUUCAGUGCUGCAGCUAACGCAUUAAGCACUCCGCCUGGGGAGUACGACCGCAAGGUUGAAACUCAAAGGAAUUGACGGGGGCCCGCACAAGCGGUGGAGCAUGUGGUUUAAUUCGAAGCAACGCGAAGAACCUUACCAGGUCUUGACAUACCAUGAAAAGCUAAGAGAUUAGUCUUUCCCUUCGGGGACAUGGAUACAGGUGGUGCAUGGUUGUCGUCAGCUCGUGUCGUGAGAUGUUGGGUUAAGUCCCGCAACGAGCGCAACCCUUAUUACUAGUUGCCAGCAUUCAGUUGGGCACUCUAGUGAGACUGCCGGUGACAAACCGGAGGAAGGUGGGGACGACGUCAAAUCAUCAUGCCCCUUAUGACCUGGGCUACACACGUGCUACAAUGGUCGGUACAACGUGCUGCGAACUCGCGAGGGUAAGCAAAUCACUUAAAACCGAUCUCAGUUCGGAUUGUAGGCUGCAACUCGCCUACAUGAAGCUGGAAUCGCUAGUAAUCGCGGAUCAGCAUGCCGCGGUGAAUACGUUCCCGGGCCUUGUACACACCGCCCGUCACACCAUGAGAGUUUGUAACACCCAAAGCCGGUGGGGUAACCUUUUAUUAGGAGCUAACCGUCUAAGGUGGGACAAAUGAUUAGGGUGAAG